This 368-nucleotide long non-coding RNA is filed under the name Salmo salar (Atlantic salmon). RNAcentral's name for it is "lncRNA (ENSSSAG00000083773.1)". Lineage: Eukaryota; Metazoa; Chordata; Actinopteri; Salmoniformes; Salmonidae. The record is from RNAcentral.
GUACAAUACAAAAUGUCUGAUUCAUUAUGAGUCAGUCUCUUCCAGUCAGACACCUAGAGGGGAAACAUCCUUGUCAGGUGUUGGCUAUAACAGGGGCUAUAACAGGGGUGAUACAGUUUCUGGUCAGGUGUUGGGCUAUAACAGGGGCUAUAACACGGGUGAUACAGUUUAUCUGGUCAGGUGCUGGGCUAUAACAGGGGCUAUAACAGGGGUGAUACAGUUUCUGGUCAGGUGUUGGGCUAUAACGGGGGUUUUACAGUUUCUGGUCAGGUGCUGGGCUAUAACAGGGGCUAUAACAGGGGUGAUACAGUUUAUCUGGUCAGGUGUUGGGCUAUAACAGGGGUGAUACAGUUUAUCUGGUCAGGUGU